AACGGCCGCGCAGCAGGAUGCCGAAAGGUGCUGCUGUGAGGAAAGUCCGGGCUCCGCAGGGCAGGAUAGCUGAUAACGUCAGCCGCGGGUAACCGCCGGGAAAGUGCAACAGAAAUAAACCGCCCGCAAGGGCAAGGGUGGAAAGGCGAGGUAAGAGCUCACCCACUCCCAUGGUAACAUGGGUUUGCUGUAAACCCUAUCCGGAGCAACACCUUAUGAGACGAGUUGGCCCGACGCAAGUCUUUGGUGGCAGGCAUUUUGCCGAGCAGACCGGUGACGGUCUGCAAAGAUAGAUGGUCGUUCUCGACAGAACCCGGCUUACAGAC
RNAcentral lists this RNase P RNA (326 nucleotides) under bovine gut metagenome. RNAcentral describes it as "Bacterial RNase P class A". It matches the Rfam family "Bacterial RNase P class A". From Rfam's summary of the family: Ribonuclease P (RNase P) is a ubiquitous endoribonuclease, found in archaea, bacteria and eukarya as well as chloroplasts and mitochondria. Its best characterised activity is the generation of mature 5'-ends of tRNAs by cleaving the 5'-leader elements of precursor-tRNAs. Cellular RNase Ps are ribonucleoproteins. The record is from RNAcentral.